This 720-nucleotide unclassified non-coding RNA is filed under the name Melitaea cinxia (Glanville fritillary). RNAcentral describes it as "misc RNA ENSMCXG00005000191.1". The record is from RNAcentral. Lineage: Eukaryota; Metazoa; Arthropoda; Insecta; Lepidoptera; Nymphalidae.
UCAUCAAGUUUUGCGCCUAACACCAUAUCAUUGCCAGUACAACGCAAUUGAACUAAUUUGGGCUCAAAUAAAAGGUUUCGCUGCAAGAAAUAAUACAACGCCGCCUUUUACCGCAAACAAGAUGAUGUCAUUACUCCAGCAAGCUUGUGAAAACGUAACGGCUGAAAACUGGAGUAAUGUCAUAGAAAAAGUUAAAAGCGUCAUACGCCAGGACUGGGAACGCGACGUCCACGUCGACACAAUAUUGGACCAAAGUUUUAUUUUAAAUGUAGAAUCGGAAUCGGAUGAGUCUUCCUGUUCGUCGAUUGAAACAGAUUGCGAAUAAAUUGAAUAAUUUAAUAUUGAGUUUCAUUUUUACACCCUUAAAACAUUAAUAAUUUAUUGACGAAAUUAAUUUUUAAUAAGCAGUUAAAAGUAUUUUUUAUAAUCGAUUAAAGGUUAACCGCAAUUGUACUCGAUAAUCGAAUCACAUAAAUUAAUUCUGUAUGGUCACCUCACUAUAGAGUUAAUUUGACAUGUGUCACCGUACCCAUCUUAGGUGAAAUGAAAUAUAGUACACCUUAUUAGUACUAUUAGUACUUAGUAGUAGCUAGAUUUUUUUAAAUUAUUUUUUUCAUCAUUUUGAUAAUAUACGAGCACUAAAGAUACGAUUGUAAAAUAACAAACCUCAUUAUACACCUUAUUUGAUUUCCCUUCAUACUUCAACAGGCUUAGGACUGU